AUUGAACGCUGGCGGCAGGCUUAACACAUGAAAGUCGAGCGAGCGGAGGACGGGUGAGUAAGGUCUGGGAAACUGCCUGAGGGAGGGGGAUAAAUAGUGGAAACGGUAGCAAAUACCGCAUAGCAUAAGAGGUGGCGAGAUGUGAUUAGCUAUUAGGUGGGGUAAUGGCUCACUUAGGCGACGAUCUCUAGCUGGUCUGAGAGGAUGACCAGCCACACUGUGCCUGUGACACGGCCCAGCCUCCUCCGGGAGGCAGCAGUGGGGAAUAUUGCGCAAUGGGGGCAACCCUUACGCAGCCAUGCCGCGUGAAUUAAGAAGCCCUUCGGGUUGUAAAGUUCUUUCGUUAGCGAGGCGUUAACUACAGAAUAAGCCCCGGCUAACUCCGUGCCAGCAGCCGCGGUAAUUC
RNAcentral lists this ribosomal RNA (406 nucleotides) under uncultured bacterium. RNAcentral's name for it is "partial 16S ribosomal RNA". It matches the Rfam family "Bacterial small subunit ribosomal RNA", at positions 30 to 526 of the family's 1533-position model. The record is from RNAcentral.